UGGGGAAUAUUGGACAAUGGGCGAAAGCCUGAUCCAGCCAUGCCGCGUGUGUGAAGAAGGUCUUCGGAUUGUAAAGCACUUUAAGUUGGGAGGAAGGGCCAUUACCUAAUACGUGAUGGUUUUGACGUUACCGACAGAAUAAGCACCGGCUAACUCUGUGCCAGCAGCCGCGGUAAUACAGAGGGUGCAAGCGUUAAUCGGAAUUACUGGGCGUAAAGCGCGCGUAGGUGGUUUGUUAAGUUGGAUGUGAAAUCCCCGGGCUCAACCUGGGAACUGCAUUCAAAACUGACUGACUAGAGUAUGGUAGAGGGUGGUGGAAUUUCCUGUGUAGCGGUGAAAUGCGUAGAUAUAGGAAGGAACACCAGUGGCGAAGGCGACCACCUGGACUGAUACUGACACUGAGGCACGAAAGCGUGGGGAGCAAACAGGAUUAGAUACCCCUGUAGUCCCUGAGCGGGCUGGCAAGGCGCAU
This 472-nucleotide ribosomal RNA is filed under the name uncultured bacterium. RNAcentral's name for it is "bacterial SSU rRNA". It matches the Rfam family "Bacterial small subunit ribosomal RNA", at positions 355 to 825 of the family's 1533-position model. The record is from RNAcentral.